CGGAGAGUUUGAUCCUGGCUCAGGACGAACGCUGGCGGCGUGCCUAAUACAUGCAAGUCGAACGAACUCUGGUAUUGAUUGGUGCUUGCAUCAUGAUUUACAUUUGAGUGAGUGGCGAACUGGUGAGUAACACGUGGGAAACCUGCCCAGAAGCGGGGGAUAACACCUGGAAACAGAUGCUAAUACCGCAUAACAACUUGGACCGCAUGGUCCGAGUUUGAAAGAUGGCUUCAGCUAUCACUUUUGGAUGGUCCCGCGGCGUAUUAGCUAGAUGGUGGGGUAACGGCUCACCAUGGCAAUGAUACGUAGCCGACCUGAGAGGGUAAUCGGCCACAUUGGGACUGAGACACGGCCCAAACUCCUACGGGAGGCAGCAGUAGGGAAUCUUCCACAAUGGACGAAAGUCUGAUGGAGCAACGCCGCGUGAGUGAAGAAGGGUUUCGGCUCGUAAAACUCUGUUGUUAAAGAAGAACAUAUCUGAGAGUAACUGUUCAGGUAUUGACGGUAUUUAACCAGAAAGCCACGGCUAACUACGUGCCAGCAGCCGCGGUAAUACGUAGGUGGCAAGCGUUGUCCGGAUUUAUUGGGCGUAAAGCGAGCGCAGGCGGUUUUUUAAGUCUGAUGUGAAAGCCUUCGGCUCAACCGAAGAAGUGCAUCGGAAACUGGGAAACUUGAGUGCAGAAGAGGACAGUGGAACUCCAUGUGUAGCGGUGAAAUGCGUAGAUAUAUGGAAGAACACCAGUGGCGAAGGCGGCUGUCUGGUCUGUAACUGACGCUGAGGCUCGAAAGUAUGGGUAGCAAACAGGAUUAGAUACCCUGGUAGUCCAUACCGUAAACGAUGAAUGCUAAGUGUUGGA
RNAcentral lists this ribosomal RNA (857 nucleotides) under uncultured bacterium. Its description in RNAcentral is "bacterial SSU rRNA". It matches the Rfam family "Bacterial small subunit ribosomal RNA", at positions 1 to 827 of the family's 1533-position model. The record is from RNAcentral.